This 103-nucleotide small nuclear RNA is filed under the name Jaculus jaculus (lesser Egyptian jerboa). Lineage: Eukaryota; Metazoa; Chordata; Mammalia; Rodentia; Dipodidae. The record is from RNAcentral.
AUGCUUUGAGAGCACAUAUGCUGAAAUUGGAACAAUACAGAGAAGAUUAGCAUGAUCCCUGCACAAGGAUGACAUGCAACUUCCUGAAGGGUUCCAUAUUUUU